Molecule: ribosomal RNA, 921 nt
Filed under: uncultured organism
Description: bacterial SSU rRNA
Rfam family: Bacterial small subunit ribosomal RNA
Source: RNAcentral
CUAACUGCGUGCCAGAAGCGUCGGUAAGACGUGGGCCCCGAGCGUUAUCCGGUGUUACUGGGCGUAAAGAGUCGUGUAGGCGGUUCGAAAAAGUUACCUUUUAAAUCCCAAUGCUCAACAUUGGAACUGGAGGUAAAUACUCUCGAACUAGAGUUUUCUACAGGGUGAAUGGAACUGUGGGAGGAGUAGUGAAAUGCGUUGAUCCCCACGGGAACACCAGUGGCGAAGGCGGUUCACUGGUAGAAGACUGACGCUGAGACACGAAAGCUAGGGUAUCGAAGCAGAUUAGAGACCUGCGUAGUCCUAGCCGUAAACGCAUGCUUGCUAGCUGCAUUUCCGCCCCUUCGGGGGUUAGGUGUGGCGAAGGUAACCCGUUAAGCAAGCCGCCUGGGGAUUACGGUCGCAAGACUAAAACUCAAGGGAAUUGGCGGGGAGGCACACAACCAGUGGAACAUGUGGUUUAAUUCGAAACAAACCGAAGAACCUCACCUGGGUUUGACAUGUAGCUGCUCAUCCUAUGAAAGUAGGACUCCUUCGAGGGUGCUACACAGGUGCUGCAUGGCUGUCGUCAGUUCGUUCCGUGAGGAGUGCCCUUAAGUGGGACAACGAACGCAACCCCCAUCGUAUGUUAUAUCUGUCAUACGAAACUGCCUUGCCGUUGGCGAGGAGGAAGGAGGGGCAGACGUCAAGUCUGCAUGGUCCUUAUGCCCAGGGCUACACACAUGUUACAAUGAGAAGGAACAAUGAGCAUUGCGAACUCGCGAGGGUAAGCAAAUCUCAGAAAUCUUCUCUCAGUGGGGAUUGGAGUCUGCAAUUCGACUCCAUGAACGCGGAAUUGGUAGUAAUCGCGGGUCAGCUAUACCGCGGUGAAUACGUUCUUGCCUCUUGCACACACCGCCCGUCAAGCCAACAAAGUCGGGG